CCAAGGCUUGACAUACACCGGAAACGUCUGGAGACAGGCGCCCCCUUGUGGUCGGUGUACAGGUGGUGCAUGGCUGUCGUCAGCUCGUGUCGUGAGAUGUUGGGUUAAGUCCCGCAACGAGCGCAACCCUUGUCCCGUGUUGCCAGCAGGCCCUUGUGGUGCUGGGGACUCACGGGAGACCGCCGGGGUCAACUCGGAGGAAGGUGGGGACGACGUCAAGUCAUCAUGCCCCUUAUGUCUUGGGCUGCACACGUGCUACAAUGGCCGGUACAAUGAGCUGCGAUAC
RNAcentral lists this ribosomal RNA (286 nucleotides) under Streptomyces sp. RNAcentral's name for it is "partial 16S ribosomal RNA". It matches the Rfam family "Bacterial small subunit ribosomal RNA", at positions 974 to 1255 of the family's 1533-position model. Lineage: Bacteria; Bacillati; Actinomycetota; Actinomycetes; Kitasatosporales; Streptomycetaceae. The record is from RNAcentral.